Molecule: ribosomal RNA, 490 nt
Filed under: uncultured bacterium
Lineage: Bacteria
Description: partial 16S ribosomal RNA
Rfam family: Bacterial small subunit ribosomal RNA
Source: RNAcentral
AGUGAACGCUGGCGGCAGGCCUAAUACAUGCAAGUCGAACGGCAGCACAGCAGAGCUUGCUCUGUGGGUGGCGAGUGGCGGACGGGUGAGGAAUACAUGGGAAUCUGCCCAGUCGUGGGGGAUAACGUAUGGAAACGUACGCUAAUACCGCAUGCGCCCUUUGGGGGAAAGCCGGGGACCUUCUGGCCUGGCGCGAUUGGAUGAGCCCAUGUUCGAUUAGCUAGUUGGCGGGGUAAAGGCCCACCAAGGCGACGAUCGAUAGCUGGUCUGAGAGGAUGAUCAGCCACACUGGGACUGAGACACGGCCCAGACUCCUACGGGAGGCAGCAGUAGGGAAUAUUGGACAAUGGGCGCAAGCCUGAUCCAGCCAUGCCGCGUGAGUGAAGAAGGCCCUCGGGUUGUAAAGCUCUUUUGUCCGGAAAGAAAAGCAUUCGGUUAAUACCCGGGUGUUCUGACGGUACCGGAAGAAUAAGCACCGGCUAACUUCGUG